CUUCUAAACCACACAAGCAUAGACACAACCAAAGCCCCAACCCAAACUAGCCUACAGUUUCAAAAGGAAUAUGCUUUGUUAAAUAAUCAAAAUCAAAAAAAAGGUCAGUGAAUGAAAACAAAAAAUGAAAGUGAAAUAUAAAACCGAUAAAAAUUGCGGAUUAAUUUCUGACGCUACAUUUACCAAUUACCUUCCCAGUAACAUCACUCUGCUUUUUCCUAUCCUGUAUGGCCUUGCUCCAGGAAUAACCAUUUAAAUUCAUGAGUAUUUCCCCUCCCGAUGAUGUCUGCUACAAACUCUUUCCAGAAAAAAAAAAAAUGCCCUGAUCACAAGGAUCUUUCUGGGGAAACAGUGGGUGCAGUGGAGAUCAAUUCAUUGAUUGGAAAAACACUGAGCAGCUACACUGGACGUGAAGUUUGUAUGAACAGUGCGACCCCCACUCUUCUCCAGGCCCCAUCAGCACAGGACCAGUCUAGAGCAGAGGGUUCUAGCACUGGUGACCACGUCUCCCACCCACUCACACCUACCGCGGUAAGAGUCCACAGGGAGUUUCCAAACAGCCUGUCUCUGAUCCCUUCUCCCAGCUCAUCGCAUCCUGAUGCUGUGUUCCUACAUAGUUCCCCUCCGCCCCCCCACAAACACGUGACCAUAACCCCUUAUUCUUUCUCUACAAUUCUCUGUUAAGUUCCUUCAGUAUUUUUAUCUCUUUUCAUGUCUGGUUUCUUUUCCUUGCUGGCAAUUGAGUGCCCAACUCUAAUUCCAAAAACAAUUCCACUGCUCAUCUCUCUGUGUCCAGCAGGUGUCUCCACUGGAAAAUAAAUAGCACCAACCAUGUCCUCUCCUACAGGGUGAACUCUGUCCCACAACAGAGGUGCCCCCUCUGACUUCAGAUGUAAAGAAAUGGAAAGGCGACCUUCUAGAGAGGUAUGCUCACCUACACGAGGAUCUUCAGAAAUAUCUACUUACUUCCAUCUCCGGUAGACAAACAUUGUACAGAGCAUUUUUUUUUUGACCUUGGACAAAGUAUUUAACUUCUUGGAACCUCACUUUCUUGGUCUGUGGCGUAGAGAGAAAUAGGUCCCUAUGGGGAUACUGGGAGAAGAGAACGAGAUGCAAACAUGAUGUACCUAGCCCAGGGCUGAGGACAUGCC
This 1151-nucleotide long non-coding RNA is filed under the name Marmota monax (woodchuck). The record is from RNAcentral. Lineage: Eukaryota; Metazoa; Chordata; Mammalia; Rodentia; Sciuridae.